Molecule: RNase P RNA, 365 nt
Filed under: Negativicutes bacterium
Lineage: Bacteria; Bacillati; Bacillota; Negativicutes
Description: partial RNase P RNA component class A
Rfam family: Bacterial RNase P class A
About the family: Ribonuclease P (RNase P) is a ubiquitous endoribonuclease, found in archaea, bacteria and eukarya as well as chloroplasts and mitochondria. Its best characterised activity is the generation of mature 5'-ends of tRNAs by cleaving the 5'-leader elements of precursor-tRNAs.
Source: RNAcentral
CGCCGUCUUUCGGGACGGAGGAAAGUCCGGGCUCCACGGAGAAACGGCGCCGGAUAACGUCCGGCGGGGGCGACCCCAGGGAAAGCGCCACAGAAAGCAAACCGCCUUUGGGUCUCCAAGGGUAAGGGUGAAAGGGUGCGGCAAGAGCGCACCGCGCGGGCGGCGACGUCGGCGGCACGGCAAGCCCCGCCGGGAGCAAAACCGAAUAGGGACGACAGGCGACGGCUCUCGGGCCGGAACCACCCUUCUCCGGGGCGUCGUCCGGGUUGGUUGCACGAGACGGCAGGCGACUGCCGUCCCAGAGGAAUGGCCAUCGCGCGCCGCAAGGCGCCAUACAGAACCCGGCUUACAGGCCGACUGGCGCU